CUACAGGCUUUUUUCUUUUCCAAAGCCACAAGAUACAAAAAUCUCAGUUUUAU
Non-coding RNA from Colius striatus (speckled mousebird), 53 nucleotides. The record is from Rfam. NCBI's taxonomy places the organism in Eukaryota, Metazoa, Chordata, Aves, Coliiformes, Coliidae.